Molecule: long non-coding RNA, 1116 nt
Filed under: Prunus persica (peach)
Lineage: Eukaryota; Viridiplantae; Streptophyta; Magnoliopsida; Rosales; Rosaceae
Description: long non-coding RNA (PPER_LNC001553)
Source: RNAcentral
ACUUCAAAAGGUUUUCAAUGGCGAAGUUGAUUGUGCUGUUUGCUCUGUGUGUGCUUCCGGCUCUGGCCGUCGCCACGCGUCCCAUGAGGACCCCAUUCACGGUGGAAGGAAAGGUCUUCUGUGACCCUUGCCGUGCUGGGUUUGAGACCUCAGCCACCACCUACAUUCCCGGUAAGCAUUUUUACUCCAGUUUUGUUUUUCCAUUUUGGAUUUUGGUUAUGUGUUAUGUGGGUUUUUUUUGUUGAUGGUUUAGAAUUUCGAUCUAACUCGCUAGAUCUGGAAGGGUUCUUUGUUUGCUUUGUAAUUUGAAGUGAAAGAUGGGUUUUGUACUUUCAGAUCUUACUGGGUUUGGACCUGUUGGACUGUAGGUGGUCAAAAUGUUGACGACUUAGGAUUCUUGUGUGCAGAUAAAUAAAGAACCUUUCUCAGAAAAAAAUAUUGAAAAUUAAGACCCAAGAAAUUGUUUUGAGAAAAAAGAAUUCUUGUAAGUAAGCCCAAGCAUUGUGGGAGUGUACAUACUAGCAUACAAUUUGAGAAUGCUAAGGACAUCAAAACAAAUGGCUACAGUGUUUCAUCAUAUCUAGGUUCACUCUCAACUGCAUUUAUGUCUAACACAUUGUUAUGACAUCGAUUCAUGACUAAAAUUGGGGAAAGGUGUGGUGACUCGAUGGUUAUUGAUACAAUUUUAUUCUCCUAUUUGACAUAGGUAGUGGCAAAUUGACAACUAGUUUUGGAUAUCAAUUUAGGGUGCAUAGCUGCUUUAGUAUUGUCUUGGGAUUGGUUGUAUUUAUCCUCAGUGUUAUUGAUUAUUUGAAGUGAUAUUUGAUAAGGAAUAGGAAGAAACUGCUAUGAAUCUAUGAUUUGUACAUUUCCGUUGACAAGUUUUAUUUGGUGAUGUUCGUAUCAGGUGCCACUGUUAGACUAGAAUGCAGAGACAGGAAGACCAUGGAUAUCCGAUACACCAAAGAAGGGAGAACUGACUCAACAGGAACCUACAAGAUCCCUGUCACAGAGGACCAUGAGGACCAGUUUUGUGAUGCUGUCCUUGUUAGCAGCUCUCAGAAGGACUGUGCGGCAGCUGCCCCAGGGCGUGACCGUGCACGUGUCAUCCUCACC